Molecule: ribosomal RNA, 301 nt
Filed under: uncultured bacterium
Lineage: Bacteria
Description: partial 16S ribosomal RNA
Rfam family: Bacterial small subunit ribosomal RNA
Source: RNAcentral
CAGUCGCCGCGGUAAUACGAAGAGGGCUAGCGUUGCUCGGAAUGACUGGGCGUAAAGGGCGCGUAGGCGGUUUGGCAAGUUUGGUGUGAAAUCUUCGGGCUCAACUCGAAGUCUGCAUCGAAAACUGCCGGGCUUGAGUAUGGGAGAGGUGAGUGGAACUUCCGGUGUAGCGGUGAAAUGCGUAGAUAUCGGAAGGAACACCUGUGGCGAAAGCGGCUCACUGGACCAUUACUGACGCUGAGGCGCGAAAGCUAGGGGAGCAAACAGGAUUAGAUACCCCCGUAGUCCCUGUCUCUUAUAC